Mytilus trossulus (common blue mussel) is the source of this 1952-nucleotide long non-coding RNA. RefSeq lists it as uncharacterized. The transcript is spliced from 6 exons. The record is from RefSeq and is a predicted model, not a curated record. Lineage: Eukaryota; Metazoa; Mollusca; Bivalvia; Mytilida; Mytilidae.
AGGUACUUUCUGUGGCAUGUUUUCAUGGUGUGGGAAUAAGACUUGGUGGUCAAAUACAGCUAAUAUGUAGGUUAGCACCACAGCUUGUCUGCAAGGAUUGAAGCUGGGAAACGGCCAUUGGAGCUGAAUUUUAUGGAAGCUGUGGCUGCAGCCAUGAUUAUGUGAUAAAACUGAAGAAUGUUAUUCAAAUUUUUUUUGUAUAUAUUUCAAAAAAUGUAAUUUUUUAUAAAAAAAAAAAAAAAAGGUGUAAAGAUUCUCCAUUUUCAAUUAGAUUGGAAGCUUGUAUUAACAAUUGUUAGAUCUUCUUCGUUAUUCCCCCACCCCCUGUAUCUCUAUUUCAUUUUUACUUUGAAAAUGAAAUGGAACAGACAAAUUUUACUUGUCAACUUAAUAAUGGUCUGUCUAGUCAAAAGGCCUCCAGUUGGUUUAGAAUGGAGAAUCUAAAAAAAAAAUGUAAAGUGUUUUUUUUUAGUUUCCUGAAUUUUUAUAUACAUUUUGUUAUUGCUCCCUUUCAAUUUUUAUAAAUUCCAGAUUUUAAGUUUUGGAUUUAUGGGGCUUUAUUCAUAAAAAAGGGGGAUUUUUCACACCUGGACAAUAACUCAAAAAGGCUUUCACCAAUGUCCAUGAAACUUUGGUGAAUUGUUUAUAUCUAUUGGCAUAAGCUCCCUUUCCCUUUUUAUUAAUUUUAGAUUUUACGUUUUCUUAAGUAAUGAAUUUUUAUACUUAAAAAAGGGGGAUUUUAUGCAGUUUUGGUGAAACUUAAAAGAGCAAUGGCCGUAUCAUGUGCUAAAGCGCAUCCCUUUAUUGAAAUGUGUUGUAGUUUUUACAUAUUAUUAUUUCUUUAUUUUAAUUAUACAAAUUUUGUAUUGUUAAAUAUUUAAAGGGUGUGGAGUCUCAACAGGGUGAAAUUUUCAGGACAAAAGGGAGGUAAUUCCUUUGUUAUACUCAUUAUACUUGAAAUUUCCUGAGUGUUUAUAUGGAAUAUAACUUUUUUAAUUAAAAUAUUCACUUUUGUACACAUUUUCUUUAAAUAUCAGAUGUAUACUUGCUAAAAUUACUUUUAUUUAGAGUUCUGUAAAUAAAAAAAAAUGUAAGCAGAGUUCUAGCUAUAGAUAAUGGAUUUGGAGGGUGGGAGAAAUUGUGGGUAACUACAAUUGAUUAGGUGAAAUUUCAAAAGACUUAAAAAGUGCAUCUGAUAUUUAUUUUUACAUAAUGUUAUUUCUGAAAGCAAAUGGACAAUAAGAUGAGGACAUAAACCACCUUCCAGGUUAGGAUAGCAGCUCUUAAGGAAGAUGGUCAAUUAAAUCUUCAACCCAGUCUGAGGCCUUACCAGGAAAAAUGUGUGGUUGUUGAAAUUACAAUGUUUUCAUGGUGUGGGGAGUAAGACUUGAAUAUCUGAUAUUGUUAACAUGAUGGUUAGCAUCACAAGUUUCCUUUGGGUAACUUGCUUGAGGAGUAAAGAGAGCUGUUUAAGUUGAAAGUGUCACCUUUGCUGCCUUGUGUGGUACAAUCUUCAGACAAUAUCCUGCAAACCGUGGCUGAACUGUUACUAUCUUUUUUUAGUAGAAUCCUUAGACAGUAAUCUUGUGGCAGAAUGAGUUGUAAACAAAUUGUUUUUAUUCCUGUAUUGAGUUUCAAAUUGGAUAUUUUUUAUUUAUAUUAUUUGUAUUCCAUUUGCAUUCAAUUAUUGUUUUUUAAUUGAUGAAUCAUUAAAACUUAAAUUUUGCGGGGUCUUAAAGGACUUUCUUAGAGGGGGCCAGCGCAAUUGAUUAAACAAAAUUUUUCCCGCAACAGGGAGAGGAGACAUCCCCAUAAAUAUGCCUUUGAAAUGGGGUGUUAAAGAAGAUUUGUAUUGUUUGUUUGUUUGUCCAUCAUCAGCUCUCAUCCACAGCUUGGUAGAUUUUCAUUGAAACUUUCAGCUGAUUUUCUGUACUAAAGGCAGUAUGUUUUUU